This 468-nucleotide ribosomal RNA is filed under the name uncultured bacterium. RNAcentral's name for it is "partial 16S ribosomal RNA". It matches the Rfam family "Bacterial small subunit ribosomal RNA", at positions 28 to 507 of the family's 1533-position model. The record is from RNAcentral.
GACGAACGCUGGCGGCGUGCUUAACACAUGCAAGUCGAACGGAAAGGCCCUGCUUUUGUGGGGUGCUCGAUUGGCGAACGGGUGAGUAACACGUGAGUAACCUGCCCUUGUCUUUGGGAUAACUUCAGGAAACUGGGGCUAAUACCGGAUAGGAGCUCCUGCUGCAUGGUGGGGGUUGGAAAGUUUCGGCGGUUGGGGAUGGACUCGCGGCUUAUCAGCUUGUUGGUGGGGUAGUGGCUUACCAAGGCUUUGACGGGUAGCCGGCCUGAGAGGGUGACCGGCCACAAUGGGACUGAGAUACGGACCAGACUGCUACGGGAGGCAGCAGGGGGGAGUAUUGCACAGUGGGAGGGAGUCUGUUGCAGCGGCGCCGGGUGCGGGAUGACGGCCUUCGGGUUGUAAACCGCUUUCGCCUGUGACGAAGCGGGAGUGACGGUAAUGGGUAAAGAAGCACCGGCUAACUACGUG